CCUACGGGAGGCAGCAGUGGGGAAUUUUGGACAAUGGGCGCAAGCCUGAUCCAGCCAUGCCGCGUGUGGGAAGAAGGCCUUCGGGUUGUAAACCACUUUUGUCAGGGAAGAAACGGUUUGAUCUAAUACAUCGGACUAAUGACGGUACCUGAAGAAUAAGCACCGGCUAACUACGUGCCAGCAGCCGCGGUAAUACGUAGGGUGCAAGCGUUAAUCGGAAUUACUGGGCGUAAAGCGUGCGCAGGCGGCUUUGCAAGACAGAUGUGAAAUCCCCGGGCUCAACCUGGGAACUGCAUUUGUGACUGCAUGGCUAGAGUACGGUAGAGGGGGAUGGAAUUCCGCGUGUAGCAGUGAAAUGCGUAGAUAUGCGGAGGAACACCGAUGGCGAAGGCAAUCCCCUGGACCUGUACUGACGCUCAUGCACGAAAGCGUGGGGAGCAAACAGGAUUAGAUACCCUGGUAGUCCACGCCCUAAACGAUGUCAACUGGUUGUUGGACGGCUUGCUGUUCAGUAACGAAGCUAACGCGUGAAGUUGACCGCCUGGGGAGGACGGCGCGAGUAGAACGUACGAAGAGAAGUUAGACGGACGUGAGACGUACGACCGACGGACGACGACGAGGGGAGGAGGG
RNAcentral lists this ribosomal RNA (630 nucleotides) under uncultured bacterium. Its description in RNAcentral is "bacterial SSU rRNA". The stretch from base 1 to 542 matches the Rfam family "Bacterial small subunit ribosomal RNA", at positions 338 to 873 of the family's 1533-position model. The record is from RNAcentral.